RNAcentral lists this ribosomal RNA (1899 nucleotides) under human gut metagenome. RNAcentral describes it as "bacterial LSU rRNA". It matches the Rfam family "Bacterial large subunit ribosomal RNA", at positions 575 to 2495 of the family's 2925-position model. The record is from RNAcentral.
CAGAGCCCGUUAAAGGGUGAUGGCGUGCCUUUUGUAGAAUGAACCGGCGAGUUACUGUAUGGAGCGAGGUUAAGCAGGAUAUGCGGAGCCGAAGCGAAAGCGAGUCUUAAGAGGGCGAGAGUUGCAUGCAGUAGACCCGAAACCGGGUGAUCUAGCCAUGACCAGGUUGAAGUUGGGGUAAAACCCGAUGGAGGACCGAACCGACCCCCGUUGAAACGUUGGCGGAUGAGUUGUGGCUAGGGGUGAAAUUCCAAUCGAACCCGGAGAUAGCUGGUUCUCCCCGAAAUAGCUUUAGGGCUAGCGUCGAGGUAAGUUGCGUGAAGGUAGAGCACUGAAUAUGUGAUGGCCCCAUCUCGGGGUACUGAGCAUAAUCAAACUGCGAAUGUCACGCCAACAUGCUCGGCAGUCAGACAGCGGGUGAUAAGGUCCGUUGUCAAGAGGGAAACAGCCCAGACCAUCAGCUAAGGUCCCAAAAUGUAUGCUAAGUGGAAAAGGAUGUGGAGAUGUACAGACAACUAGGAGGUUGGCUCAGAAGCAGCCAUCCUUUAAAGAGUGCGUAACAGCUCACUAGUCGAAUGACUCUGCGCCGAUAAUUUACCGGGGCUAAGCAUACUACCGAAGCUAUGGAUCCCAAGGGAUGGUAGGGGAGCGUUCCAUGAACGGAGAAGUACGACCGAAAGGACGUGUGGAGAUCAUGGAAGAGAGAAUGCCGGUGUGAGUAGCGGAACGUGGGUGAGAAUCCCACGCACCGAAAACCCAAGGUUUCCAGAGGAAGGUUCGUCCGCUCUGGGUAAGUCGGGACCUAAGGCGAGGCCGAAAGGCGUAGUCGAUGGACAACAGGUAGAGAUUCCUGUACCCGUAUAUAUGUGAAGGAAUGACGGAGAGAGGAAGCUGCAGCCAGCGGCUGGAAGAGCUGGUGCAAGCGAGAUAUCGGGAUGGCAGGCAAAUCCACCAUCCGAAACGAGAAGGCGUGAAGCGUACGGAAAGCUACGGCGAGUACGGAAGGCAGUGGAGGAACUUCCAAGAAAAGUUUCUAACGUAAAGUAUAUAUGGCCCGUACCGAAAAUGGACACACAUGGGUGAGGAGAGAAUCCUAAGGUGAGCGAGAGAACUAUAGCUAAGGAACUCUGCAAAAUGACUCCGUAACUUAGGGAGAAGGAGUGCUCAUAGAGAUAUGAGCCGCAGUGAAACGGCCCAAGCGACUGUUUACCAAAAACACAGCUCUCUGCUAAGCCGCAAGGCGAAGUAUAGGGGGUGACGCCUGCCCGGUGCUGGAAGGUUAAGGGGAGGGGUUAACGCAAGUGAAGCCCUGAACUGAAGCCCCAGUAAACGGCGGCCGUAACUAUAACGGUCCUAAGGUAGCGAAAUUCCUUGUCAGGUAAGUUCUGACCCGCACGAAAGGCGUAACGAUUUGGGCGCUGUCUCAGCUGUAGACUCGGUGAAGUCUUAGUACCUGUGAAGAUGCAGGUUACCCGCGACUAGACGGAAAGACCCCAUGGAGCUUCACUGCAGGUUGAUAUUGGGAUUUGAUGCAGCAUGUACAGGAUAGGUAGGAGGCAAAGAGAUGGAUACGCCAGUAUUCAAGGAGCCGCUGUUGGGAUACUACCCCUGUUGUAUUGGAUUUCUAACCGGACGACGUAGAGCCGUUGACGGGACAGUGUCAGUCGGGCAGUUUGACUGGGGCGGUCGCCUCCCAAAGAGUAACGGAGGCGCCCAAAGAUACCCUCAGCUUGGAUGGAAACCAAGCGCAGAGUGCAAAGGCAAAAGGGUGUUUGACUGCGAGACCCACAAGUCGAGCAGGGACGAAAGUCGGGCUUAGUGAUCCGGCGGUGCUGAAUGGAAAGGCCGUCGCUCAACGGAUAAAAGCUACCCUGGGGAUAACAGGCUGAUCUCCCCCAA